RNAcentral lists this ribosomal RNA (123 nucleotides) under Rikenellaceae bacterium. Its description in RNAcentral is "partial 23S ribosomal RNA". It matches the Rfam family "Bacterial large subunit ribosomal RNA", at positions 2790 to 2925 of the family's 2925-position model. The record is from RNAcentral. Lineage: Bacteria; Pseudomonadati; Bacteroidota; Bacteroidia; Bacteroidales; Rikenellaceae.
AAGCCAUCCCCAAGAUAAGAUUUCCCUUGAGGGUCGUAGUAGAUGACUACGUUGAUAGGCGGUAGGUGUACAGGCAGUGAUGUCACAGCCGAGCCGUACUAAUAGCCCGAAAGACUUUCGGAA